UAUCUCACCUCUGCAGCCUCACAGCAAGAAGGUCUUGGCUCAGCCCAGGCCUAUCUGUGUGGAGUUUGCUGACGCUCAUGUGCCCAUUGUAGGCACUUUGACCGGGGAAAGGGGUCAACAUGCACCCUGACUGGUCUAUGUGCCCCAUAUACCACAGGCUGUGAUGCUCUGUGUGUUCUGACACCUUUCUAUCAAAGCCAGCAUUCACUUUUUCGUCCGUUGGAUUGGACCAGCUUUCGCUCCUCACCUACAUCAAUGAGCCUUGCCUGCCCAUGACCCUCUUACCAGUUCACGCAUCAUUUAUGGCUCUACUGCUAACUUUAACUGCAGUCAGCUAGUUAGCAGCCCUAUUAGCUGACUCUAGGUGGACUGGGAGCUCAGAGUACUUGGAGGUGUGUUGUAGUUUGUUUACACCUAGCGCAGGAGCUUUGGACCGCUGAAGGAGAGCCGAGUGUGGCAGAGCCCAGUUUGGCAGAGAAUACAGUACCGAGGACAUUUACGUCUGGACCAGGACUCUGACUCCAGGGAUGACGAAGAUGUUCGUGCGUUCAGAGGAAGAGCUGAUUCCAGUAACUCUGGGCACCUGGGCUAAUUGCCCUGUAGAGUAUUUGGGACUAUCUUCCCAUUUUGGCAAGGAGGCUGCUGUCGACUCCAGGUCAGACCUUCCUGCGGGCCAUGGUUUCCCCUUUAGUUUGGUUUUCUUUGGUUGGACUAUUGCUUUGUAGUAUUUAUCUUGUUUUCGCAUACAACACCACCUACAUACAUUCAUGCAACCAUCAUCCUGCAGAUACACUAUUGAAACCACAGACUACAUACCUCAUACUUUCAUUAUGUUUGAAAUAACUAUUAAUUUGGCUUAUUUUUGUUAAAUAAACAUGUUUACCAUG
Molecule: long non-coding RNA, 887 nt
Organism: Micropterus dolomieu (smallmouth bass)
Lineage: Eukaryota; Metazoa; Chordata; Actinopteri; Centrarchiformes; Centrarchidae
Exons: 2
Source: RefSeq, a predicted model, not a curated record